GGAAUAGCCUCUGGAAACGGAGAGUAAUACCGCAUACGCCCUUCGGGGAAAGAUUUAUCGGAGAAGGAUCGGCCCGCGUUGGAUUAGGUAGUUGGCGCGGUAAUGGCGACCAAGCCGACGAUCCAUAGCUGGUUUGAGAGGAUGAUCAGCCACACUGGGACUGAGACACGGCCCAGACUCCUACGGGAGGCAGCAGUAGGGAAUCUUGGACAAUGGGGGAAACCCUGAUCCAGCCAUGCCGCGUGAGUGAUGAAGGCCCUAGGGUUGUAAAGCUCUUUCGCCAGGGAAGAUAAUGACGGUACCUGGUAAAGAAACCCCGGCUAACUCCGUGCCAGCAGCCGCGGUAAUACGGAGGGGGUUAGCGUUGUUCGGAAUUACUGGGCGUAAAGCGCGCGUAGGGGACUAUUAAGUCAGGGGUGAAAUCCCGGGGCUCAACCCCGAACUGCCUUUGAUACUGGUAGUCUUGAGUUCGAGAGAGGUGAGUGGAAUUCCGAGUGUGGAGGUGAAAUUCGUAGAUAUUCGGAAGAACACCGACGGCGAAAGAUUCUGCUGGGCUUGUACUGACACUGAGAGACGAAAGCGAGGGGAGAGAAUGGGAUUAGAUACCCCAGUAUUCCUCGCCGUAAACGAUGGAUAUUAGGUAUUAGAUCUUUAGAAUUUAGUACUGAAGCUAACGCAUUAAAUAUCCCACCUGGGGAGUAUGCUCGCAAGAGUGAAACUUAAAGGAAUUGACGGGGGCCCGCACAAGCGUGGAGCAUGUGGUUUAAUUCGAUGCAACGCGAAGAACCUUACCAGGACAUGACUACAUCUAUACCUCUUUGAAAGAAGAG
Molecule: ribosomal RNA, 830 nt
Filed under: uncultured bacterium
Lineage: Bacteria
Description: bacterial SSU rRNA
Rfam family: Bacterial small subunit ribosomal RNA
Source: RNAcentral